Molecule: ribosomal RNA, 253 nt
Filed under: uncultured bacterium
Lineage: Bacteria
Description: partial 16S ribosomal RNA
Rfam family: Bacterial small subunit ribosomal RNA
Source: RNAcentral
UACGUAGGUGGCGAGCGUUGUCCGGAAUUACUGGGUGUAAAGGGCGUGUAGGCGGGACUGUAAGUCAGAUGUGAAAUUCCCCGGCUCAACUGGGGGGCUGCAUCUGAAACUAUGGUUCUUGAGUGCUGGAGGGGGAAGGGGAAUUCCAAGUGUAGCGGUGAAAUGCGUAGAUAUUUGGAGGAACACCUGUGGCGAAGGCGGCUUUCUGGACAGUAACUGACGCUGAGGUGCGAAAGCGUGGGGAGCAAACAGG